This 28-nucleotide small RNA is filed under the name Bombyx mori (domestic silkworm). RNAcentral's name for it is "ovarian small RNA-17993". The record is from RNAcentral. Lineage: Eukaryota; Metazoa; Arthropoda; Insecta; Lepidoptera; Bombycidae.
GUUUCAAGUUCCAACAAAACAUCUUAAA